AUUCAGCUGAUGAGUCUCAAAUAGGACGAAAUAUGCACCCUGAAU
This 45-nucleotide non-coding RNA is filed under the name Schistosoma curassoni. Lineage: Eukaryota; Metazoa; Platyhelminthes; Trematoda; Strigeidida; Schistosomatidae. The record is from RNAcentral.